GGGGUGGAGAGGGAGAAGAGAGAGAAUUUUAAAUUUAUUACAAAAUUUAUAAUUUAUAAUUUCAAAAAUAAAAUUUAUAAUUUUUUAAAUUUUAAAUUUGAUAUUUGAUAUUUUUAAAUUUAAAUUCGAUCUUAAAUUUAAAAAUUUAAAAAAUAAAAAAAUGAAUUUAAAAAUUUAUAAUUUUAUAUUCUAAAUUUUAUAUUUUAAAUUUAAAAGUUAACAUUUUAAAUUUAAAACUUUAAAUAUGAUAUUUAAAAAUUCAAGUUCAAAUUUAAUGAGAGGAAUAAUAUCAUUAUUUUUUAUUUAUAAUUACUCAUUAUUCUUCUUAUUUUAUCUUUAUCUAUCAAAACGUUACUUUUUUUAUUUCCGGAAACAACUCAAUUUUCAUUCAAACGUAAAAUUAGUUUAAUCUUUACUUAUACUUAAACUUGUACCUAUUUUUGAAAAAAGUCAUUCUUACUUAUAUCCGAACCAAAUGAAGCCUUAUGGAUCCAAUAACCUGCUAAGUUUGUUAAAAAUCGGAACGACGAAAAAUAGAUCCAAAAAAUAAUUUAAUGCAAGAAAAGAAAAGUAAGGAAAGAACACACUGAUAAUUACGUGGUUCGGCCAACGGCCUAUGUCCACGGACGAAGACGGAACAAAUACUUUAUUAAUGUCGAAAAGACGGAGUACAAAAAAAUCUCUCAAAAGACCAAAACUUAAUUAGAUUCGAAACACCGCAACAAGCAACUCCAAAGUGGCUCGGCUUAAUUAACACCACGGCUCCUCAUUACCGUACGGACCACCAAGCUUGGUCAACUCUCUGGAACAUGCGGUUUAAUUAGCAUGGCUUCUAAUGCACAACAUUGCCUUCAUUAAUUAGAUCCCAACAGAGGCUCUCACACCGCGCGCCACCGCAACAUGACCACCCUUAAUUUAAUUAAUUUUCAUGGCCCUUAAUUUGAGUCGCGGCUGGAUUAAUUUGGCCGUAGCAUGUAUUUAUAAUACAUGUCUCCUAAAUAGAGUCUAAUCCUAAUUCAAUUAGAAAUUAGAUUCCGACUCAUAAUCCAUAUAUGCCAAAUUAAAUCUAAAUUAUAUCCAAUCCCAAUUAGAUUAGGAUUUAAUUCCAAUUUAGAUAACUACAAAUCUAAACCAAAUAUAACAAAGUUGCUAAAAAGUUUUAUAUU
This 1166-nucleotide long non-coding RNA is filed under the name Ananas comosus (pineapple). RNAcentral's name for it is "long non-coding RNA (ACOM_LNC015864)". Lineage: Eukaryota; Viridiplantae; Streptophyta; Magnoliopsida; Poales; Bromeliaceae. The record is from RNAcentral.